CCUACGGGGGGCUGCAGUAGGGAAUUUUCGGCAAUGGGGGGAACCCUGACCGAGCAAUGCCGCGUGAAUGAAGAAGGUCUUCGGACUGUAAAGUUCUGUUAUCGGGAAAGAAGGUAUAUAUCAGGAAAUGGAUAUAUAUUGACGGUACCCAAUUAGAAAGCCCCGGCUAACUACGUGCCAGCAGCCGCGGUAAUACGUAGGGGGCGAGCGUUAUCCGGAAUUAUUGGGCGUAAAGCGUGCGUAGGCGGAAUGUUAAGUCAUUUGUAAAAGAUCUCAGCCUAACUGAGUAAGGCGAAUGAAACUGGCAAUCUUGAAUACGGUAGAGGUAAGUGGAAUUCCAUGUGUAGCGGUGGAAUGCGUAGAUAUAUGGAGGAACACCAAUGGCGAAGGCAGCUUACUGGGCCGGAAUUGACGCUGAGGCACGAAAGCGUGGGGAGCAAACAGGCUUAGAUACCCGUGUAGUC
This 464-nucleotide ribosomal RNA is filed under the name uncultured Bacillota bacterium. Its description in RNAcentral is "bacterial SSU rRNA". It matches the Rfam family "Bacterial small subunit ribosomal RNA", at positions 338 to 795 of the family's 1533-position model. Lineage: Bacteria; Bacillati; Bacillota. The record is from RNAcentral.